Mercenaria mercenaria is the source of this 1696-nucleotide long non-coding RNA. RefSeq lists it as uncharacterized. Lineage: Eukaryota; Metazoa; Mollusca; Bivalvia; Venerida; Veneridae. The transcript has 3 exons. The record is from RefSeq and is a predicted model, not a curated record.
AUUUACGUUUAACAAAUCAUGUUUUAUUUUUUGCAGUUUUCCAGGUUGCUUUGGUGGCAUUAUUGCAUAGAUGAGAGACCAUCCGUGAUUCAUACACAAAAUUGACUGACGUGGUUUCAGAUUUGGAGCAGGAAGGGUGACCUUGUGUACGUACAGAUCACGGACUUAGACGUGUUGUCAGAACUGGAGCAUAAAUGGCAAUGGUAUAAUGGAUGGCCGACGUUCAGAUGUACAAAGUUAUACUGCAGACUUUGGAGCAUAAAGGGUGUGUAUAUUUACUUUUUAGCUGACCUGAGCCAUAGGCUCAGGGUGAGCUAUUGUGAUCACUCACCGUCCGUCGUCCGUAAACUUUUACUUUAAACGACAUCUCCUCAUAAACCGCUAGGCCGAUUUCAUCCAACCUUCACAGGAAUGUUCCUUGGGUGAAGCUCUACAAAAAUUGUUCAAAGAAUUGAAUUCCAUGCAGAACUCUGGUUGCCAUGGCAACCGAAAGGAAAAACUUUAAAAAUCUUCUUCUCAAAAACCAGAAGUCCUAGAGCUUAGAUAUUUGAGGUGAAGCAUUGCCUAGUGGACCUCUACCAAUUUUGUUCAAAUCGUGACCCCAGGGUCAUAUGAUUUUACAUAGGAAAAUCUUAAAAAAUCUUCUUCUCAAAAACCAGACGCCCUAGAGCUUAGAUAUUUGACAUGUAGCAUUGCCUAGUAGACCUCUACUAAAAUUGUUCAAAUCUUAACCCCGGGUCAAAAUUGAGCCCGCCCCAGGGGUCACUUGAUUUUACAUAGAUUUCUAUAGGAAAAUCUUCAAUUAAAAAAAAACCAGAAGGCGUAGAGCUUAGAUAUUUGACAUGUUGCAUUGCCUAGUGGACCUCUACAAAAUUUGUUCUAAUCAUGAUCCCCGGGGUCAAAAUUGACCCCGCCCCAGGGGUCACUUGAUUUUACAUAGGAAAAUCUUCAAAUUUUUUCUAAAAAUAAACCAGAAGGCCUAGAGCUUAGAUAUUUAUCAUGUAGCAUUGCCUAGUAGACCUCUACAAAAUUUGUUCAAAUUAUGACCCCCGUGGUCAAAAUUGUCCCCGCCCCAGGGGUUACUUGAGUUUACAUAGGAAAAUCUUCAAAAUUUUUCUAAAAAUAAACCAAAAGGCCUAGAUCUUAGAUAUUUGACAUGUAGCAUUGCCUAGUAGACUUCAAUAAACUUUAUUCAAAUCAUGACCUAGUGGACCUCUACAAAAUUUGUUCAAAUUAUGACCCCCGGGGUCAAAUUGACCCCGCCCAAUGGAGUUACUUGUUGUACAUAGAAAAAUCUUCAAAAUUUUCUAAAAAUAAACCAGAAGGCCUAGAGCUUAGAUAUUUGACUUGUAGCAUUGCGUAGUGGACCUCUACAAAAUUUGUUCAAAUUUUGACCUCCAGGUCAAAUUGAUCCAGCCCCAGGGGUUACUUGAUUGUACAUAGGGAAAUUUUCAUGAAUUUGCUAAAUAUAAACCAAACGGCCUUGAUCUAAGAUAUUUGAUAUGUAACAUUGCCUAGUAGACUUCUACAAACUUUGUUCAAAUCAUGACCCCGGGGUAAAAUUGACACCGCCCCAGCGGUAACUUAAUUGUACAUCGGAAAAUCUUCAAAACUUUCUAAAAAUAAACCAGAAGGGAUAGAGCUUAGAUUUUUGACAUGUAGCAUUGCCUAGAGGACCUCUAUAAAAUUUGUUCAA